Molecule: ribosomal RNA, 194 nt
Filed under: uncultured Rhodocyclaceae bacterium
Lineage: Bacteria; Pseudomonadati; Pseudomonadota; Betaproteobacteria; Rhodocyclales; Rhodocyclaceae
Description: partial 16S ribosomal RNA
Rfam family: Bacterial small subunit ribosomal RNA
Source: RNAcentral
CCUAGGGGAGGCAGCAGUGGGGAAUUUUGGACAAUGGGGGAAACCCUGAUCCAGCCAUGCCGCGUGAGUGAAGAAGGCCUUCGGGUUGUAAAGCUCUUUCGGCCGGGAAGAAAUCGCACAGGCUAAUACUCUGUGUGGAUGACGGUACCGGCAUAAGAAGCACCGGCUAACUACGUGCCAGCAGCCGCGGUAAU